CCGUGUUUUUGAGCAAAUAGAUGUUGUUUGAACACAUAAACAAUUUGUUUAAUUCCUGAAUGAAUCAGCCUUUUGAACUAAUGGAUUGAAUUAAUGGCUCAGUCAUUACAAUAGUGAGUACCACAACCAUUUAAACUAAUUCUUAUCUGGCGGCUGUGAGCUCCACAUCUCUGUGCUGCAGGUCAGGGCUCAUUACAGCGUGGUGUCCAGUUUGCCCUGUCCGGCCCUGGAUGAGCUGUGUAACGGAGGAGACUGUGUGGAUCAGCUCAGCUCCUCUCCUCUGACAGGGGCUUUACCUUCACCAGGCUGGUGUCUUCAUCAGUGGCAGAAAAACAUUCCUAAACACCACACGUCUGCUCUUCAGCUUGGAUCCGAUAGAGCCGUGCCACUAUAUUCAAGAGCAGAUCUGUCUGUCAGAGCCGACACUAACCGUGUUAACCAGCCUCCGUUUGUGGCUCUUCCUCCUCCAGUCAGGUGAACAGCGCUUCAGAGGCCCAGAAAUACUUACAGAAAACAUACUGCAUGUCUGAAACUUGUGCAUUGCUUUGUAUCAGGUUACAAGCUGCUUGUCCUCAGCAAAUCCCGGUGAAUGUGAUGGAUUUGGAUGGAGAUGAGAUUCGCUGUCGUUAUAACAAGACUGACCUUGGUGAAUUUCUG
RNAcentral lists this long non-coding RNA (657 nucleotides) under Sinocyclocheilus grahami. Its description in RNAcentral is "lncRNA (ENSSGRG00000048884.1)". Lineage: Eukaryota; Metazoa; Chordata; Actinopteri; Cypriniformes; Cyprinidae. The record is from RNAcentral.